GCAGGCUUAACACAUGCAAGUCUGAACGCCCCGCAAGGGGAGUGGCAGACGGGUGAGUAACGCGUGGGAACAUACCCUUUGGUUCGGAACAACUCGGGGAAACUCGAGCUAAUACCGGAUAAGCCCUACGGGGGAAAGAUUUAUCGCCGAAGGAUUGGCCCGCGUCUGAUUAGCUAGUUGGUGAGGUAACGGCUCACCAAGGCGACGAUCAGUAGCUGGUCUGAGAGGAUGAUCAGCCACAUUGGGACUGAGACACGGCCCAAACUCCUACGGGAGGCAGCAGUGGGGAAUAUUGGACAAUGGGCGCAAGCCUGAUCCAGCCAUGCCGCGUGAGUGAUGAAGGCCUUAGGGUUGUAAAGCUCUUUUACCCGGGAAGAUAAUGACUGUACCGGGAGAAUAAGCCCCGGCUAACUUCGUGCCAGCAGCCGCGGUAAUACGAAGGGGGCUAGCGUUGUUCGGAUUUACUGGGCGUAAAGCGCACGUAGGCGGACUUUUAAGUCAGGGGUGAAAUCCCAGAGCUCAACUCUGGAACUGCCUUUGAUACUGGAAGUCUUGAGUAUGGAAGAGGUUGGUGGAACUGCGAGUGUAGAGGUGAAAUUCGUAGAUAUUCGCAAGAACACCAGUGGCGAAGGCGGCCAACUGGUCCAUUACUGACGCUGAGGUGCGAAAGCGUGGGGGAGCAAACAGGAAUUAGAUACCCUGGUAGUCCACGCCGUUAAACGAUGGAUGCUAGCCGUUGGACAGCAUGCUGUUCAGUGGCCGCAGGUAACCCUUUAAGCAUCCCGGCCUGGGGAAGUACGGGUCCGCAAGAUUUA
This 815-nucleotide ribosomal RNA is filed under the name uncultured bacterium. Its description in RNAcentral is "bacterial SSU rRNA". It matches the Rfam family "Bacterial small subunit ribosomal RNA", at positions 42 to 897 of the family's 1533-position model. The record is from RNAcentral.